Molecule: long non-coding RNA, 651 nt
Filed under: Marmota monax (woodchuck)
Lineage: Eukaryota; Metazoa; Chordata; Mammalia; Rodentia; Sciuridae
Source: RNAcentral
CACCCACUGAGCUUUAUCCCCAGCCCAGAACCCCUAUGUAGGUAUAUUCCUUUACAUUAAUAGUACACACUGUCACUCCCUGAAAAGCUGUCAGUCUCAAAUGACUUAGUGAAUGGAAGGAAACAAAAAGAGGAUAAGUGAUAUUAAGGAGAAAUAAUAGAAUUAGAAAAUUCAUGCUGGUCAGCUUGUUAGCAACAAGGGAUGGUUUCCUGUUGAUAAAGUUCCUGUGGAGUGGGAAUGAUGUCUUACCUGGGGCUGCAGUAGGUAAUUGCAUGUUCUUCAUCUUUGGUCUAACCCCCCAAAUCAAAAUAGUUUUGCCCUUUAUGCAGUAAUCUCCUUUAAAAAUAUGAACAUUCAGACGUUUUUGUCCCACUGAGGAUACCUUGCUUUUAACUUUUCCCCUUUAUCUUCUCUGGACUGGUCACUGUAUCUUCCAUUUCUUCUUGCUCCUCCCCCUUGGAGACUUCUGCAGACCUAUAUAGCGUUUUCUCUAACCGUACUUCUCUGACUCUAAGACCCUGAAAUCUUUUUGAGUGUUUCAGAAUUGGAGUAUUUUGGAUUACAGACUUUCAUAUUAGGGGUGUUUAACCAGUAAAGUCUAUGCAAAUGUUACAAAAUCUGAAAAAUUCUGAAAUCUGAAACAAUUCUGGU